Small nucleolar RNA from Sphaeramia orbicularis (orbiculate cardinalfish), 137 nucleotides. Ensembl annotates it as small nucleolar RNA SNORA15. The record is from Ensembl. NCBI's taxonomy places the organism in Eukaryota, Metazoa, Chordata, Actinopteri, Kurtiformes, Apogonidae.
GCAUGGAUGAAUUCUGUUCCAGCUGAUCUGUGGUGGAUACAGUCAGACACCAUGCUAAAGCAUCAUCUCAUUUCUUCUAAAUGUCUGGAUGAGUGUCACCCUCAUACUCACCCACUUCUAUAAGAAUGCGUACAGUG